UACGUAUUAAUUUGUUUGUUUAAAUCGAUCAAAUCUAAAGUUAAAUUUUACUGAAAAAAAUUUUUUUUUAUAGUUUGAGUUUUGAAUCUAAUCGGAAGGGAAAUAAAUUGAAAUGAUAUUAUUGUGUAUUUAAUACUGAUUUAGAUUUCUAAUUAAUACGGUAGUUGCUGCCACCAGAUGUAGUCUAUGGACUAUUUCAAAAUAUUUUAUUUUUAUUAUUUUCUUUUACGUUUAAUGGGUAGCGUUAACUGACGCCUAAUGCAACUGGUAAACGAAUUCCAUUUUUCGGCUAACCUGCUAUGCGCAGGGAUGCUAGCACGGGAGAGGAUUAAAGCUGGGUACAAUAAAUAUUUUUCCUCGUUGAACAGAUUUUCUAUUUGAAUGUAAAAUUGCUUAGGUUAUUAUAUAUAUAUAUAUUUUAUUAGCUGGAUAUAUAUAUUUUAGUGUUGCUGGAUUAGAUAGGGAUGUGAGAUUUUUGUUGUUUUAUAUAAAUUUAUCUUUACGUUUGUUUAAAGUUAAACAAUGAUUCUAUUCUCAAAACCCUUCACGGAAAUAAGACGAGAUUGAUGAUAGGAAGUUCUGGUUUGAUUCUCGAAAUUAUCAGAGAAGACGAAAUUUUAAAAAAUUUAUUUUCUUACCUUGAGGAGAAGGUGCUGUCGGGUGCCAUUACUCCAGCUGCUCAGGUGAUCGUCGAAGUUUGUUGGGUUUAUUAUUUAAUCUCGAAUAUAGUUUUCUAUCAACCUUUACUUUAUUUAGCUAUUUCGAUACAGAUUGAAUAACUCGCUAACUGAAUUAAUACAGCAAUGGGGACUUAAAAUUCUUCUUUUAUUUAAUCGCGACUCUCUUGUCUUUACCGAAAAAACUAAAAGACCCCGAAACGCAAAAUACUUAUACAAAUCUUUGAAUGCAAUAAUGAGCGAACGGCAAUAACAAUGAUCACUAUAAUGAUGAACCAAGAUUAAAGCCCACGCUCUAUGUUGCUACGCUUAUUUAUAAUGCCAUCCCCACGGGAUGGUGGUCCACUGGGGGUAUGCUUCCGUGGGAAUCAGGAUGUUGCAGUUUGAAUUUCUUGAAAUCGUACGUGAGAGAAUGCGGGUUCCAUGCGUCGACUUAGUUCCUAUCAGUCCUGUGCUUCUGCUGAGCUAGCAUCUAGGAGACUCGAAGCAUUCCAUGCUGAUCUAGUCCUUCCCGCGAGAAUCUUCCACGUGCUGUACCGUGGGAAUUAUCUGUGUUUCUUCGGUGCGUGCAAGGGUUGGCGGCCGCAGCAUCAUUAUCACUUCGAUGCUCGCUCGGGCAACACGCGCGACAUCCGCUGCUCUCCCGCUACAAGGACCUCCUUCUUUGAGUUAUUUUUGCGCUUUGGUGAUCGACGUUCGGACAAUGUUUGCGGAGGCAUUUCCAUCAGAGGUUUCUUAUUAUAUUAUUUUUAGAUGUAUUUUGUUUUUAUGUACGAAAUAUAUAUAUAUAUAUAUAUAUAUAUAUAUAUAUAUAUAUAUAUAUAUAUAUAUAUAUAUAUAUUCUAUGUAUCUAUUAUACGUUUGUUAAAUAUAUUUAAUUUUAUAUUUCCCCCUUUUUAAUUAAUUAUAUAUAUUUUUACAUUUGCAUUUGACAGUGUAGUCGCUCAUAGAGUCUAUUAAAGAAAAUUGUUAACAAUAUGCUUUCAUGAUUUGUUUCUCGCGCCUGUUUUCCAUUAAUCCCUAAUAUUCCUGUCGCCAUGAUGCGUGUAAAUCCAACAUGGCUGCUCAUAAAUGUCAUCAGUAAAGUUUUAGUAACGGGUCUUUAGUUUUGUUUGAUAUCGAAGUAAUUUUUCGUCUGUCGCUCGUUUUUCCUUAUUCUAUCGCAAUUAGAACAUUUAUUUAUUAAUAUUGUUUUAAAGUGACAAUAGUAUAGCUCGUGUGAAUAUACGUAUAUACAUAUAUGUUUAUGUUGUGUGUCACUUCAAUAUGGUUAAUGUUUUGUAAUUCUUCGAUUGCGCUAUUUAUUGUUUUGAGUAGUUUAUUUUAUAGAGUAUUCGAUAAUAUAAAACAUAUGUACUCACACAUACAUACAUAUAUAUAUAUAUAUAUAUAUAUAUAUAUAUAUAUAUAUAUACGUAUUUAUAUGUAUAUUUCUCUCGCCCGUGUAGUGUGCAUACGAAAUGAAAUGUUAAUUAUUUAUUUUAUAUUAAUUUCUUUUAAUAAGAUAGAACACGCACAGGCACACAUAUAUAUGUAUAUAUUUCUGGCAAGGUGAUUUUCAUUUAGAUUCUUUAGUGAUAUAGUGUUGUGUACUUGAGGUUAUGUGUCAAUCAUUUGAUUUCAUAUAUACAUAUAUAUCUUGUAGUGUGACAACAUAGUAUUGAAGGUUUUGUUUCUAGAUUAUUGUGCGUUUAGUGUGUGUUUACAUAUUUGUGUUUGAUGGUAGAAUUUCUGUACCCAAUUCCUCAAGUCGUUGCGCUGUUAAUUGUUUUGAGCGUUUGGGCUAUCGACAGGUUGUCGCUUAGUCCCAAGUGUUGCGUUGUAUGUUCUAUAGUAGUUUUAGUUUAGAAAAUAGAUUAUUUAUAUGUUUAUGUAGAGACAUGCAUGUUUCGUAAUGUAGUUCUUAUUUUAUAAUUCUUUACCGGAAUGCAGGCUAGUUUUAAGUAUGUAUCUUAGAUUAUCGAUUUGAAUCAAUAAUGUAGAAAGAGCAUACAUUAAUAGUAGUUUAGUUUAGAAUAUAAUUUAUAUAUUUAUAUAUAGACAUGCAUGUUUCGUAAUGUAGUUCUUAUUUUAUAAUUCUUUACCGGAAUGUAGACUAGUUUUAAGUAUGUAUCUGUUUGAUAGAAUGCGCACACAUAUAUAUAUGUUUAAUACAAUAUUGUAUGUUUUAUGUAUUCGUUAGACUAUUAGUUUUUGACUUCGUAUAUACUUAUAUUUCAUAAAUUGUUAAUAUAGUAUUGGAAGCACUGUCUCUAAUAUUUACUAGUUUAUUACAUGUCUAGCAUAUAUGUUUAUACUUAUAUGUAACUCUCCAAGUUGAUUGAUUAAAAUAUAUUUAUAUAUACAUGUAUUUCUGGCGUUUCAAUUAUUUCCCCUUUUGUAGUUAUUCUUAUUUCCCGGUUUAUUUGUUUGGUUCGUAACUCGUUCAAUCCAUUAGCUGGUUUUAUCUAUUUUAUUUUAUACUGGUUGGAUUUAUUAGUCGCCCUCGUUUUGUUAAUCCUUCCUUUAGUUUCGUAGCGCCGUGUGUUCGUUCGUGCAUUCAAAUCCUUAUUCGCGCGUUUUGUAUAGAAUAGUUUUCUUGUUCUUGUUACGGCGCGUGCGGAGCGCGGGACGUGACACCCCCACCCUUGGAGUUCAAAUUUCCAAAGGAAAUUUGACUGAUGGCGUCACUGAGUUCGCUCAAGGCGGAUGUAGAUGUCGUUGGUUGAUGAGUGACUACCGGUGUUAUCGUCCAUCAUCCCAGGAUGUUUACUGUUCCAGGGACGAUUGUUUUUCCUGUCGCUCCUCUGGCCAAUGUGUUUAAGACUGCAAUAUUUCUGCCGGGAACAUGACGUGGUCCCGUAGUGCGUCCAGGUCCUCUUGGGUAUAUAUUCCGCUCAUGGUCACCGACGAUGGUGCUGAAUAUUGCCACGUUUGGCGCACGUCCGGGCGGAAUUUGUGUGGUGCGAUUCCCUUGCCAAACGGAUAGCUCCGAGUAGCAUUUUGUUGUAUGUCGUACUUUUACUUGUACCGGAAUGUAUUUGACUAUAUGGACCGCUUCUCCUGCGAUCAAAUCCAUGUGUCCUGGGUUUUGGUUAUGGUGUAUGCAAAUUCGUCGGGCGGUUUUACGUACUUGUUAUCAGUGAAAAUAAAUAUUAUGAAUACUACUUGGAUUGUAACUAUAUACAUAUAUGCGUAC
Long non-coding RNA from Bombus huntii, 3855 nucleotides. RefSeq lists it as uncharacterized. NCBI's taxonomy places the organism in Eukaryota, Metazoa, Arthropoda, Insecta, Hymenoptera, Apidae. The transcript is spliced from 3 exons. The record is from RefSeq and is a predicted model, not a curated record.